AUUGAACAUUGAACUAUCGUUCAAUAUUUUUGGAAACGUACUUUUUUUGCUUUCUGUCCAUGGGUGAUGUAGAGCAUUGUGGAUAUGGAUGUGCUUCACGUUAGAGAUAACGCAUAGCGAGUGUUAAGUCAAGUCCAAAGAAUAAUCAUUUGACAAAUAAAUAUUGAUUUAAAAAAAGAUUUGAUUGGUUUUAAAAAUGACUUUGGAGCGUCAUUGAGAAACGUAACGUAACACAAUAAUGAUUUUAUCUCGACUAUCGGUUUUUCAUAAACGUUGGAAGCCAAAAUCGUUAUUGAAAUGAAAUAAAAUAAAAUAGAUUAAUGGCCCAGCCCUAGAAUGCAGGUAACUUGUUAUACAUCUUCCCUUCUCUCUGCUUUCUCUGUCGGUCAGACGGGGACAUGGUGAGUUCAUGGCUGGGCUCACAGUAUUGAAUCAACACCAAUGACAUCAAGACUCUGAAUCAAAUGGAGUCAUCAGAUUCCCAAACAUUCCCAUCCCGACUAACCACGUCCUGGCUCAUGUUUGAGAAGCGGUUUGUAAUAUUUAGGGUGAAUAGCUUAAGAGAUGAAUAUAAGACCGAGAUGGUGGGUGAUUGUAGAGCAUCCUCUGUCCCACCGACUGUAUUUUACUGUGAGAGAGCAGCUCAGCACCACCGUGGUAAAGUGUCACGUCAAGUCUACAUACUAAAACCGAGCCAGGUCCCUUACUGGAACCCUGGACGUGGGCUGUGGUCUGGAGCUCUGCUGCCAGCCAGCGCCCCCUGUCCUAGUGUGUCAGGACAUGACAUGUAUCUCCACCAAAGGUAACGCUGUAACCUGUAAUGACCUGACGGCAGUAUCACAACUAACUCACCCAUCUGUCUGCAGAUCCCUCCUGUUGCCAACAUGCUGCCGAGUUCUCACCUUGCAAAGAAGCUUGUGACCAGCUCGCCACUAUAAAGAGUGAGUCUCGUCUAAAGCAUCUGCUCCAGAGGUUACCCAGUUACUGUCCGGAGUUGAUGAAUGAACUUUGGACGUGCAUCAACUCUUCACUCCCAGGAGUAUCCAGGAAGUCGGACGGCUGGGUGGGGCUGGGCUGCUGCGAGCUGGCCAUCUCAGCUGAGUGUCGCAGGGAAUGCAGACAGGCAUCAUCUAAAAAUGACAUAACUAAAGUAUGCAAAAAAGUCACAGAGAACUCCCUCUACAGCUGCAUCACCAAAAAUGAAA
Long non-coding RNA from Anarrhichthys ocellatus (wolf-eel), 1205 nucleotides. RefSeq lists it as uncharacterized. The record is from RefSeq and is a predicted model, not a curated record. The transcript has 6 exons. NCBI's taxonomy places the organism in Eukaryota, Metazoa, Chordata, Actinopteri, Perciformes, Anarhichadidae.